UACGAAGGGGGCUAGCGUUGCUCGGGAAUUACUGGGCGUAAAGGGCGCGUUAGGCGGAUAGUUUAGUCAGAGGUAAAAGCCCAGGCUCAACCUUGGAACUGCCUUUGAUACUGGCUAUCUUGAGUUCGGGAGAGGUGAGUGGAACUGCGAGUGUAGAGGUGAAAUUCGUAGAUAUUCGCAAGAACACCAGUGGCGAAGGCGGCUCACUGGCCCGAUACUGACGCUGAGGUGCGAAAGCGUGGGGAGCAAACAGG
This 254-nucleotide ribosomal RNA is filed under the name uncultured bacterium. RNAcentral describes it as "partial 16S ribosomal RNA". It matches the Rfam family "Bacterial small subunit ribosomal RNA", at positions 524 to 776 of the family's 1533-position model. The record is from RNAcentral.